UGAUUUUUUUUCUAUAAUUGUAGAUUGUGCCUUGUCCAUUGUUAGCACUUGCAAUUUACUUGGAAGUUGUUUCGGUGUUGCCCUACAUAAGGUCAACGACUGAUGCAAAACAUAAAGUUCAAUGAAAUAAUGGGGCAAGCUUCCGAAUCCAGGUUCGGUCUGGAGAAGGACCAUAGUGAGUACUUAACCAAAUACCAAAGGUUUCAUUGAUUCAAAUGAAACUUGAGGGACUAAAUUUAAGUAUUCAAACCUCUAUCAUGAUCAUGGAUAUUGGCUAAGUCUCAACUUAUUAGAAGGAAAGUAAUCUCCAGGACGUUUAUUUUCAGAAAAGGGAUAAAGUUGGGUUUGCAAGCUAAGUCUAUGAAGUUUUGUAUGCAGAAAAAGGACCAGUACGUGAAGAUUGUUGCACAUCCUGAUCACUUGAUC
Molecule: long non-coding RNA, 426 nt
Organism: Zingiber officinale
Lineage: Eukaryota; Viridiplantae; Streptophyta; Magnoliopsida; Zingiberales; Zingiberaceae
Exons: 3
Source: RefSeq, a predicted model, not a curated record